This 22-nucleotide small nuclear RNA is filed under the name Arabidopsis thaliana (thale cress). Its description in RNAcentral is "snRNA_17041". The record is from RNAcentral. Lineage: Eukaryota; Viridiplantae; Streptophyta; Magnoliopsida; Brassicales; Brassicaceae.
UGAUCCCAUCUGUGCCCUUCAA